This 127-nucleotide small RNA is filed under the name Marmota monax (woodchuck). Lineage: Eukaryota; Metazoa; Chordata; Mammalia; Rodentia; Sciuridae. The record is from RNAcentral.
GCUGGGCACAGUGGCAUAUGCCUGUAAUCCCAGCAGCUCAGGAGGCUGAGGCAGGAGGAUCGCAAGUUCAAAACCAGCCUCAGCAAAUUAGUGAGGCCCUAAGCAACUCAGUGAGACCCUGUCUCUA